RNAcentral lists this ribosomal RNA (281 nucleotides) under uncultured bacterium. Its description in RNAcentral is "partial 16S ribosomal RNA". It matches the Rfam family "Bacterial small subunit ribosomal RNA", at positions 773 to 1060 of the family's 1533-position model. The record is from RNAcentral.
GUGGAUUAGAUACCCUGGUAGUCCACACCGUAAACGAUGAUUACUAGAUUUUGGCCUUAUGGUCAGAGUCCAAGCGAAAGUGUUUAGUAAUCCACCUGGGGAGUACGUCCGCAAGGAUGAAACUCAAAGGAAUUGACGGGGGCCCGCACAAGCGGUGGAGCAUGUGGUUUAAUUCGAUGAUACGCGAGGAACCUUACCUGGGCUUGAAAGUUAGUGACCGAUCCUGAAAGGGAUCCUUCCGCAAGGACACGAAACUAGGUGCUGCACGGUUGUCGUCAACU